Molecule: ribosomal RNA, 554 nt
Filed under: uncultured bacterium
Lineage: Bacteria
Description: partial 16S ribosomal RNA
Rfam family: Bacterial small subunit ribosomal RNA
Source: RNAcentral
UAGGGAAUCUUCCACAAUGGACGCAAGUCUGAUGGAGCAACGCCGCGUGAGUGAAGAAGGUUUUCGGAUCGUAAAGCUCUGUUGUUGGUGAAGAAGGAUAGAGGCAGUAACUGGUCUUUAUUUGACGGUAAUCAACCAGAAAGUCACGGCUAACUACGUGCCAGCAGCCGCGGUAAUACGUAGGUGGCAAGCGUUGUCCGGAUUUAUUGGGCGUAAAGCGAGCGCAGGCGGAAUGAUAAGUCUGAUGUGAAAGCCCACGGCUCAACGUGGAACUGCAUCGGAAACUGUCAUUCUUGAGUGCAGAAGAGGAGAGUGGAACUCCAUGUGUAGCGGUGGAAUGCGUAGAUAUAUGGAAGAACACCAGUGGCGAAGGCGGCUCUCUGGUCUGCAACUGACGCUGAGGCUCGAAAGCAUGGGUAGCGAACAGGAUUAGAUACCCUGGUAGUCCAUGCCGUAAACGAUGAGCGCUAGGUGUUGGGGACUUUCCGGUCCUCAGUGCCGCAGCAAAUCGCAUUAAGCGCUCCGCCUGGGGAGUACGACCGCAAGGUUGAAAC